Molecule: ribosomal RNA, 300 nt
Filed under: uncultured bacterium
Lineage: Bacteria
Description: bacterial SSU rRNA
Rfam family: Bacterial small subunit ribosomal RNA
Source: RNAcentral
AACGAACGCUGGCGGCAGGCCUAACACAUGCAAGUCGAACGAUAAGCCACCUUCGGGUGGUGGACAGUGGCAGACGGGUGAGUAACGCGUGGGAACGUGCCUUUCGGUUCGGAAUAACCCAGGGAAACUUGGGCUAAUACCGGAUACGCCCUUCGGGGAAGGAUUCAUUGCCGAAAGAUCGGCCCGCGUCGGAUUAGCUAGUUGGUGGGGUAAGUGGCUCACCAAGGCGACGAUCCGUAGCUGGUCUGAGAGGAUGACCAGCCACACUGGGACUGAGACACGGCCCAGACUCCUACGGGA